Molecule: small nuclear RNA, 107 nt
Organism: Prolemur simus (greater bamboo lemur)
Lineage: Eukaryota; Metazoa; Chordata; Mammalia; Primates; Lemuridae
Source: Ensembl
GUGCUUCUUUUGGCAGUAUAUAUACUAAAAUUGAAGUGAUACAGAGAAGAUUAGCAUGACCCCUUCACAGGAAUGACACAUAAAUUUGUGAAGUGUUCCAUAUUUUA